UAGUCGGAGGUGUGUCUCGGACGGUCGGUUCGCCGCUUGUCGGUGCUUAACUGGCCGGUCUGGACGUCCUGCCGGUGGGGCUGUAAAAGGCUCCGUUAUCCUUCUUUGGUCCUCUUCAUUGAGUGCCUUGGUGGGCCGGCACGUUUACUUUGAACAAAUUAGAGUGCUCAAAGCAGGCCGGUCGCUGCCUGAAUACUGUGUGCAUGGAAUAAUGGAAUAAGACCUCGGUUCCAUUUUGUUGGUUUUCAGAACUCGAGGUAAUGAUUAAUAGGGACGGACGGGGGCAUUCGUAUUGCGACGUUAGAGGUGAAAUUCUUGGAUCGUCGCAAGACGAACCGAUGCGAAAGCAUUUGCCAAGAACGUUUUCGUUGAUCAAGAACGAAAGUUAGAGGUUCGAAGGCGAUCAGAUACCGCCCUAGUUCUAACCAUAAACGAUGCCAGCUAGCCAUCCGCCGAAGUUCCUUAUAUGACUCGGCGGGCAGCUUCCGGGAAACCAAAGCUCUUGGGUUCCGGGGGAAGUAU
This 522-nucleotide ribosomal RNA is filed under the name Leptogomphus elegans. Its description in RNAcentral is "SSU rRNA". It matches the Rfam family "Eukaryotic small subunit ribosomal RNA", at positions 631 to 1126 of the family's 1831-position model. Lineage: Eukaryota; Metazoa; Arthropoda; Insecta; Odonata; Aeshnidae. The record is from RNAcentral.